UGGGGAAUCUUCCGCAAUGGACGAAAGUCUGACGGAGCAACGCCGCGUGAGUGAUGACGGCCUUCGGGUUGUAAAGCUCUGUUAAUCGGGACGAAUGGUUCUUGUGCAAAUAGUGCGGGGAUUUGACGGUACCGGAAUAGAAAGCCACGGCUAACUACGUGCCAGCAGCCGCGGUAAUACGUAGGUGGCAAGCGUUGUCCGGAAUUAUUGGGCGUAAAGCGCGCGCAGGCGGAUUGGUCAGUCUGUCUUAAAAGUUCGGGGCUUAACCCCGUGAUGGGAUGGAAACUGCCAAUCUAGAGUAUCGGAGAGGAAAGUGGAAUUCCUAGUGUAGCGGUGAAAUGCGUAGAUAUUAGGAAGAACACCAGUGGCGAAGGCGACUUUCUGGACGAAAACUGACGCUGAGGCGCGAAAGCCAGGGGAGCGAACGGG
RNAcentral lists this ribosomal RNA (429 nucleotides) under bacterium. RNAcentral describes it as "partial 16S ribosomal RNA". It matches the Rfam family "Bacterial small subunit ribosomal RNA", at positions 355 to 776 of the family's 1533-position model. The record is from RNAcentral.